Daucus carota subsp. sativus is the source of this 1958-nucleotide long non-coding RNA. RefSeq lists it as uncharacterized. The transcript has 5 exons. Lineage: Eukaryota; Viridiplantae; Streptophyta; Magnoliopsida; Apiales; Apiaceae. The record is from RefSeq and is a predicted model, not a curated record.
CCUGGUAUACACACGUUCGCCUCACAGAACUUCUCGGCAAACUGUCGACUCAAAGAGUCAAAAUACCUAAUUCACUCUCCAUCCAUGAUCCAUCAGUGAUCAAUCUUUUUUCAGUUUCCCACUCUCGAUCUCCUCUCGCUUUUUCCACUCAAUGUCACUUUCCCUUUUCGAUAUCUUGGUGGAUGUUGGGAUCGAUUCUUCUACAGGUUCACUAGAUUGCUCGGCUUCCCAAACUGAUUCGGAUGCUUAAUUACGGGAUUAAUUAAUUGAUUUCACAGAUGGAUUGCUGGGCUUCUUGUAUCGGGGUAUGGCAUGACUGAGUCAAAUAUGAUUAGUGGUGUUAGUCAAUCUGGUAUAUCUUCUGCUAAUGGCACAAUGAUGCCAACUCCUGGAAUGGGUCAACAAGGACAAUAUUUAAACUUCUUUACUGUAUUAGUGCUUGCUUCGGUUAGUGUACUCUUCUUCUCAUUCUCAUUUUGCCAACUAUAAUUUUGAUAUUCUCAUCCUCAUUUGUUAUCUGAAAAUAUAGAUACAUCUAUAUUUCCACACAUGAAAUAAAUUAUAGAGCUCUGGCUCCUACAUAGGAGUAUCUGUCUAGCAGUUUAUUAGCAAGUAUUGCAAGGACUAAUUCAAAAACUUUGGAAGGCACCAAAACCUCUGUUCGGCCUUGCUGGUAUAAUGUGGGUAGCUUUCGCCGAGAGCAAACAGAUCUAUUAAGGAAUUUUUGCCCGGUAAAAGCUGUGAAUGCAUCAAGAAAUGUGGACACUGAAAACUGCAUGGUCAACUAAUAGAUACAGUUUAAUAGUGAGAAAGUUGCUUGUUUGGCUUAUGCUCGAAUCCAGGCUUCUCUUAUCAUCUUGGAAGAGAUAUAUUAUACCGGGUAUAUGUGGCAUUCUUGGGGGUUUUUUAUAUCAGUUAAAUUUUGUUUUACAUCCGAAAAUUGAAGGUGAUCCAGGACUUUUAACAUGUUCCAUAUACUAAUACUAUGGGAAUACUUCUACUUUCAUUUUUAUACAUAUUUUGUUAUAGCUCUGUUAGUUUUUUAAAGAAGAAGGAAGUGAACUUUAGAUUAAAUAAUAAUUUUAGUGGCAUCAGUCUUAUCUAUUCUUCAUAUGUAUCGAGAAUAAAACAUUAAGUAAUUAAGACUAUGUCACUUGAACUUGGCUGAUAGUGUCCAAGUGACAAGCUCGACAACAUAUUUUAAAUUUGCCCUGUUAAGUAAAUAUUAAAUAAAGGGUAACUAUUUUUAUCACAGGCUUUCUGGUGCAUCUUCUCUCCUGUUUUUAGUCCCCUUCUUAGUGCGCUUUGCUUACAUAUUUCCAAUAAGAAAUAAGCUUACUUAUAUAAGGUGGAGCAACUGAAUGUUUAUCACACGCUUUCUGGUGCAUCUCCUAUCCUGUUUUUUUGUCCCUUUUAUCUUUCUUUGUUUUUUUUUAAAAACAACUUUUGUUGCACAUCAUACAAUGGUAAUAUAUUGUUAAUGAUAUUGGUUUAAUAUUUCCUCACUGUAAUUAUAUUGGACUGCAGACUUAUUUACAAUGCGACUUCUCUUAUAUGCAGAAGCUGCCUCAGUUCCCAUUACCCACUCACAAUGUUGUUGUGAGAGGACAUUCUCCGCUGGAAUUUGAGAUCUUCGUGCAACAUAUCAAGACAUUGCUUUCGGGGCUUAAAUUAUGCACUAGUUUCCGUCGCAAAGGAGCAUCCUAGUUAUGGAACAGCUUUGUCUUCUGUGAUCGAGGGAAAGAACGAAGAAAUGUCUAACACCUGAGCUGUCUGGUGGAGCAAGAAUUCAUUAUAUAUUCCAACUAAUAUUUGUGAAGAGUUUGGAGAUGUUCUUAGUGUAAUAAAAAAAUUCAUUAUAUAUAACAAUCAAUAUGCGUGAAGAGUUUGGAGAUGUUUCUAAUGUAAUAAACAACUAGGUAAUAUUUUUUUAUUAAUAAGAUCGAAUUGUUUAUUCA